Salvia miltiorrhiza (redroot sage) is the source of this 890-nucleotide long non-coding RNA. RefSeq lists it as uncharacterized. The record is from RefSeq and is a predicted model, not a curated record. The transcript is spliced from 5 exons. NCBI's taxonomy places the organism in Eukaryota, Viridiplantae, Streptophyta, Magnoliopsida, Lamiales, Lamiaceae.
AUUCCGUAGCUAAAUAGUCGUUAAAAUAUACUGAAUUUUUAAUUUUAUUUAUGAAAAUUAAUAUUCCGUAGCUAAAUAGUAGUUAAAAUAUGUUGAAUUUUUUGUUUUAUUUUCUAAAUUAGAUUUCCGUUGUUAAAGAGUCGUUAAUAUUUAUCUAAAUAGUUCUCUGCAUCUUCUCUUCAGCUCACGCCCCAUUUGCCGUCUAUCUCUGAAAUAAGCUCCCGCGCCGUCGUUCUCGCCGCCGCGCGCUUCGAUCUCCGCCGUCUUCCCCGCCGCCCGCUCCGAUAUCCGCCGUCUAUCUCUGCAUCUUCUCCCCAUCGUCGCCUUCCGUUGCUGCUGAAGGAAAUUAGACAAUUGUGCUCAUAUCUUGUUGAUUUGAAAAGAGCUUCCGCUGAAGAAAUGUGCCGAAGUGUUUAUGCAAAUUAUACAGCUUUUAUUCGGUGGCGCCUCUAAGUUGGUCUGAGUGGACUGUUGUUUUAUAUCUUUCUUUUCCGGUAAUAGUAAUUGAUGAGAUAUUGAAGUUCUUCUCAAGAAGCUCAAGAGGUUGGAAAAGAAUGCCAAUUCAAUGAUUCCAUCUAUUCCUGGUUGGCAGGGAAUAAACAGAGAGAGGCUACUCUACAAGCUACUCUACAGGCUGAGGUGCAGGAGCGACGACGAAAAGAAGCAGAAAUGGAGGCUGAGGUGCAGGAGCGACGACGAAAAGAAGCAGAAAUGGAGACUAGGCAGUUGGAAAUGCAACAACAAAUUUCUCAGCUUAUGAAAUUCUUCCAAUCAUCCUCCCGUUCCUCGCCUCCACCCUAAAUACAUGUUUUGUACUUAUUAUAUAUUGUUAUUAGAUUUUUAUUUAGAUGUUUAUGAAUUUAUUACACUAACAGGUAUCCUUUAUGAUA